Long non-coding RNA from Ornithorhynchus anatinus (platypus), 243 nucleotides. RefSeq lists it as uncharacterized. The transcript has 2 exons. The record is from RefSeq and is a predicted model, not a curated record. NCBI's taxonomy places the organism in Eukaryota, Metazoa, Chordata, Mammalia, Monotremata, Ornithorhynchidae.
CACACUGCCACACUGGAGAAGAGGAGCCCUCAGUGGAUAAAUGUCACAAGGUCAGACAUACUUUGCUCUGAUCCUGCUUUAAAUCCUGUUUGUAUCCAUUUGGUGGAAUGAUACAUCAGCUCCUGGGGAAACUGAACACUCAGUCAGGCUUUUCUUCUCAACCCCACUCCAGAUGGACAUAUUCGCUACCUGUCACCAACUCCGUGGCAUAAAUCUGGCACAUCUGUACAUUUCUUUCAUUCA